RNAcentral lists this long non-coding RNA (475 nucleotides) under Zonotrichia albicollis (white-throated sparrow). Its description in RNAcentral is "lncRNA (ENSZALG00000004226.1)". The record is from RNAcentral. Lineage: Eukaryota; Metazoa; Chordata; Aves; Passeriformes; Passerellidae.
CGGCUUGGAACGGAGCGGUGUCAUGGCGGAGACGACGGCCUUUGUCUCGCAGGGUGUGAAAGCAUCCGUUGUGCUGGCUCCACUGCGGCAGAAUGAUGUCUAAAGGGGGGAAAAGUGCUGGAAGUCCGAGCUGGAUGCUCAAGAGCAGAGGAUCUAUCAACUGCAGACCAAGCAGAGGGAGAGGCAGGCAGACCUGGAGCAGAAAUGCAGCCAGAGCAUCAGCUCAGCCAGGACCUGGGGGCCAGCCACCAGCUACGGAAGGGAGCUUGGAGCAGAUGUUUAGCAGCUGUCCCCAGUCUCCAAGGUAUGACACAGCCAGGUGGUCCUAACCUUGCUGAAGAUGUGGGGCAUUUGCACCAUUUUUCUCACAAGAUCUCACUGCAGUCUCAGCUGCUGUAGCUCUGUUCCUCCUCAGGAAUUAGGCUUGGGGCUGUGCUAGAAUAAAAUCAGAUGAAGAUGGAGAGAUAGAUCUGUG